UGGAAUGAGAGACAAACAUGAUAGUAAGAAUGACAAAACAUAAUCCUAAAAAUGGCAAAAAAAUACAAAAUGGGUAUGAUACACAAAAUGGGCAAAAGUAUGGUAAGAUGGGCAAAGGAGAGAAAAGACACAGAGGCCUACGGAGACAAAGACUAAUUCAGGGGGAGGGAGUGCAAAAUGCGUCUUCACCCUUGUAGCCAAAAAUUAUUGCAUUGUUCUGAUGCCCAGAAAGAAUUAAAGUCCAAUCAGUAGAAGAACACUCAGGUCAGUUAAAAUGAGAUUUGCUGAAGUUCAAAGGUUCUUAUAAAGCAAGAUAUUCUCCCAUUCUGCUAAAUAAACAAAAACGUGCAUCUAAAUAGAGACUACCUUAUACAGGUUUAUUUACUAAAUUGAGAAUUCAAAAAUAAUUCAAGGUAUACUUAAGGCCAAAG
Molecule: non-coding RNA, 431 nt
Organism: Pelobates cultripes (western spadefoot toad)
Lineage: Eukaryota; Metazoa; Chordata; Amphibia; Anura; Pelobatidae
Source: the annotation of a GenBank genome assembly